UAGGGAAUCUUCCGCAAUGGGCGAAAGCCUGACGGAGCAACGCCGCGUGAGUGAUGAAGGUCUUCGGAUCGUAAAACUCUGUUAUUAGGGAAGAACAAAUGUGUAAGUAACUAUGCACGUCUUGACGGUACCUAAUCAGAAAGCCACGGCUAACUACGUGCCAGCAGCCGCGGUAAUACGUAGGUGGCAAGCGUUAUCCGGAAUUAUUGGGCGUAAAGCGCGCGUAGGCGGUUUUUUAAGUCUGAUGUGAAAGCCCACGGCUCAACCGUGGAGGGUCAUUGGAAACUGGAAAACUUGAGUGCAGAAGAGGAAAGUGGAAUUCCAUGUGUAGCGGUGAAAUGCGCAGAGAUAUGGAGGAACACCAGUGGCGAAGGCGACUAUCUGGUCUGUAACUGACGCUGAUGUGCGAAAGCGUGGGGAUCAAACAGG
Molecule: ribosomal RNA, 429 nt
Filed under: Actinomycetes bacterium
Lineage: Bacteria; Bacillati; Actinomycetota; Actinomycetes
Also listed under: 1 other name
Description: Actinobacteria bacterium partial 16S ribosomal RNA
Rfam family: Bacterial small subunit ribosomal RNA
Source: RNAcentral